This 393-nucleotide ribosomal RNA is filed under the name uncultured bacterium. RNAcentral describes it as "partial 16S ribosomal RNA". It matches the Rfam family "Bacterial small subunit ribosomal RNA", at positions 523 to 918 of the family's 1533-position model. The record is from RNAcentral.
AUACGGAGGAUCCGAGCGUUAUCCGGAUUUAUUGGGUUUAAAGGGUGCGCAGGCGGGAGAUUAAGUCGGCGGUGAAAUUUUGCAGCUCAACUGUAAAAGUGCCUUCGAAACUGGUUUCCUUGAGUGGAGAUGAAGUAGGCGGAAUUUGUGGUGUAGCGGUGAAAUGCAUAGAUAUCACGAGGAACUCCGAUUGCGCAGGCAGCUUACUAAACUACUACUGACGCUCAGGCACGAAGGCGUGGGGAUCAAACAGGAUUAGAUACCCUGGUAGUCCACGCAGUAAACGAUGAUUACUAGCUGUUUGCGAUACAAUGUAAGCGGCUGAGCGAAAGCGUUAAGUAAUCCACCUGGGGAGUACGUUCGCAAGAAUGAAACUCAAAGGAAUUGACGGGG